Molecule: ribosomal RNA, 254 nt
Filed under: uncultured bacterium
Lineage: Bacteria
Description: partial 16S ribosomal RNA
Rfam family: Bacterial small subunit ribosomal RNA
Source: RNAcentral
AACGUAGGUGGCGAGCGUUAUCCGGAUUUAUUGGGCGUAAAGAGCUCGUAGGCGGUGUGUCACGUCGGCCGUGAAAACCUGCAGCUUAACUGUGGGCGUGCGGUCGAUACGGGCAUCACUGGAGUUCGGCAGGGGAGACUGGAAUUCCUGGUGUAGCGGUGAAAUGCGCAGAUAUCAGGAGGAACACCGGUGGCGAAGGCGGGUCUCUGGGCCGAUACUGACGCUGAGGAGCGAAAGCGUGGGGAGCGAACAGG